CGGCGCUUGCGCGUCCCGCCGGCGACCGGCGCACGGGUGAGUAACACGUAUGCAACCUGCCCCCGCCAGGGGUACAACCCUCCGAAAGGGGGGGCUGAUACCGCGUACAUCCCCUGGGGGCAUCCCCGGGGGAGGAAAGCCCUUUUGGGCGGGCGGGGAUGGGCAUGCGGCGCAUUAGGAAGACGGCGGUGUGACGGACCACCGUUCCGACGAUGCGUAGGGGUUCUGAGAGGAAGGCCCCCCACACUGGUACUGAGACACGGACCAGACUCCUACGGGAGGCAGCAG
Molecule: ribosomal RNA, 288 nt
Filed under: uncultured bacterium
Lineage: Bacteria
Description: partial 16S ribosomal RNA
Rfam family: Bacterial small subunit ribosomal RNA
Source: RNAcentral